RNAcentral lists this unclassified non-coding RNA (2389 nucleotides) under Leguminivora glycinivorella. RNAcentral's name for it is "matrix metalloproteinase-14, transcript variant X1". Lineage: Eukaryota; Metazoa; Arthropoda; Insecta; Lepidoptera; Tortricidae. The record is from RNAcentral.
CUCCUCGUCACAGUGAAGCCAUUCCCCGAUAAUUGACGAGUGUCUACAACAAUAAUCUUUUGGAACGAUAAUCGUGUUUGCGGGCGCACCCGCGCGGUGAAUCGGUUCCUAAGUGGAUAACAAACUCAACAACGUCGUUCAACCAUAUCACCACGCCCGAGCUAUGAAUAGAUAAUAUAUCUAGUAACGAAACAAAAAAGAUUUACUAUUUUUACUAGUGUAAUGCCAAUUAAGAAUUAAUUGGUGUAGUGAUAAUUGAAGGUGCAUUUAGAAUAAAUAGUACUGAUGUACUUAUCGUUAAGGAUAAAAGGAAGCAGAUUAUCGAGACACAUGGCGUCCGUGAGCCUGAGGAGCACGCUGCGGAUAGGGCUGGCGGCGCUGACGGCGCUGGCGCUGCUCGCGCGCGCUGGCGCGGCGCCCGCCUUCGCCGGCACCGAUAAUGCCAUGAUGUACCUGGCGCAGUACGGGUACCUGAGCCCGGCGGUGCGCAACCCGUCCAGCGGGCACAUCAUGGACGAGAGCUCGUGGCGCCGCGCCAUCGCCGAGUUCCAGAGCUUCGCUGGACUUAAUGCGACAGGCGAGCUGGACGAGGAGACGACGCAGGUGAUGUCGCUGCCGCGCUGUGGCGUGCGCGACAAAGUCGGCUUCGGCGAGAGCCGCGCCAAGAGAUACGCGCUGCAAGGAUCCCGGUGGCGAGUGAAGAACUUGACGUACAAGAUCUCCAAGUACCCGUCCAAGCUGAAUCGGGCCGAGGUGGACGCCGAGCUGGCCAAGGCGUUCAACGUCUGGGCCGACUACACCGACCUCACCUUUACGCAAAAACGAUCCGGACAAGUCCAUAUCGAAAUAAGGUUCGAAAAGGGAGAGCACGGUGACGGCGACCCGUUCGACGGGCCCGGCGGCACCCUGGCCCACGCUUACUUCCCGGUGUACGGCGGUGACGCGCACUUCGACGACGCCGAGAUGUGGUCUAUCAACUCGAGGAGGGGAACUAACCUUUUCCAGGUGGCCGCGCACGAGUUCGGACAUUCGUUAGGUCUUUCGCACAGUGACGUUCGUUCCGCGCUCAUGGCGCCCUUCUACAGAGGUUACGACCCCGCCUUCCAGCUUGAUACCGACGAUAUUCAAGGCAUUCAGGCACUGUACGGGCGUAAGAGCCAGACCGACAUCGGCGGAGGCGCGCUGGCGCCGGCGGCGCCGCGGCCCACGACUGCGCCGCCGGCGGCGGAGGACCCCGCGCUGUGCGCCGACCCCAACAUCGACACCAUAUUCAACUCUGCUGACGGAAACACCUUUAUAUUCAAGGGCGAACACUACUGGCGGCUGACCGAGGACGGAGUGGCGUCGGGGUACCCGCGCCUGAUCUCGCGCUCCUGGCCCAACCUGCCCGGUAACAUCGACGCCGCCUUCACCUACAAGAACGGCAAGACCUACUUCUUCAAGGGCUCCAAGUACUGGAGGUACAACGGACAGAGGAUGGACGGCGACUAUCCCAAAGAAAUUAGCGAAGGUUUCACUGGUAUUCCUGACAACUUAGACGCUGCGCUCGUAUGGUCCGGCAACGGCAAGAUUUACUUCUACAAGGGCUCCAAGUUCUGGAGGUUCGACCCCGCGCAGCGGCCGCCCGUCAAGUCCACCUACCCCAAGCCGCUGUCCAACUGGGAGGGCAUCCCGGACAACAUCAACGCUGCCCUGCAGUAUACGAAUGGCUACACCUACUUCUUCAAGGGUGGCCAGUACUGGAGGUUUAACGACAGGACGUUUAGUGUGGACUCGGAUAACCCCGCGUUCCCACGCAGCACGGCUUUCUGGUGGCUGGGCUGCUCGAGCGCGCCGCGCGGCACAGUCGGAGUGGUGAGCGUCCAGUCGGGCGGCGCUCGACUGUAGUAUGGCGGCGCGAGCCGUGUCGUAUAGGAGGCCCCCUCCGCCGCGACUACAAUCACCCCUCAUUAUGGUGAGGAGGCAUCGGGCGGGAACGGCAGCACGAGCGCGCGCCUGUCCGCCGGGAUCGCGGCGCUGGCGCUGGCGGCCUUGUGCUCGCGGUUCUAGCAGUGCCUGCACUUCCUGGGGUUCAGAACCGAUGCCUAACGGAUCUUGAGACGUGGAGCGCCAGCCGCCUGGCUGCUACAGUCCCGCCGCAACCGCGGGAGUGGCGCCCGAGUGAGUGCCUCGCCGCUUCGCCGACUGUUAUUGUGUGUGUGCGUGUCAGGCUUCGGUAUAUUGUGUAUAGCGAACGCCGAGUGUGAUGAUGAUUGCGACCUUUUAUAUUGUUACGAGAACGAUAAUUUAAUGCAAGUCAUAGUUUUUAUACUUAUUAUAAAUAGAUGAUGUAAGUACGAGUGUGAUAUUGAUGUAAGCGACGAUUUUUAAAUAAAACUAAUGAAGUAAA